CGGGUGUACGUGAGCAAAUUUCUUUUCAUAAAAAAAUUAUAUUCUCAGGAUCUUAAAGGGGGUUUAUUAAAUUUUUACUCGGAUCCCGUAAAUCGUGGUCCUGUUUCAUAAAUUUAAGUCGAGGUGAACGUGAUUAUAUUUUUGAACAUCUUCAACGAGGUGUGGUCCGAGUGAGGCGAGCGUGCUCCACUUGCAAGAAGGCGGCGCCCGCGCUGCACAUCUCUUGUGUGCCUUGAAUUUGCAGAGUUCACAGGCGAGAGCAUGCGCUGUUCCCAGAGCACCGAGUGGCUCACGGCAUACAUUACAGAAGACUGGCGACCAGGUCCGCGACUUCUGCGCCACGAUGUAGAGCUCCACGAAGCGCAGUGGCCCAGGACUCCAUGAUGCCGCGGCUGGCUGCACACAACACCAGACACCGGCUCGGUGUUAUUACCUAUAUAACAAAAUAUAUAUAUUAUUUCUUGAUAUAUUCUCACGUAAUA
This is a long non-coding RNA of Danaus plexippus (monarch butterfly), 482 nucleotides long. RefSeq lists it as uncharacterized. The transcript is spliced from 3 exons. The record is from RefSeq and is a predicted model, not a curated record. NCBI's taxonomy places the organism in Eukaryota, Metazoa, Arthropoda, Insecta, Lepidoptera, Nymphalidae.